AGUAUGGUAGGUGCUGCCACCCGCGGACUCGGUGAUGGACAGGUUUCUGGUCCCGCCCUGCCCUCCAGGUCGCUCCCCUCCUCCUCCACUGCGGGGCCUAAGCCAAUUGGAAGGACUGAGCCCCUCCGGGCGACAACCAGAAGGCGGCCCCUCCUCCCGCCUGUUGCCAUCCGAAGCAGGAGAAGUCAGUUCACAGAACAAUUGCUGUGGCUGUGAGUCCUGAGCAAGGAAUAACCUGUCUCGGGGAUGGAACCGGUGAGGCAGGUACAUGCCCUUCUGCGCCCCGAGAACUUUAUCUGCAUUUGACUCUCAUCAAUCAUGACGUCUAAAGUAUAGAAGAAACGGCAAAGAACGUCCCUUCCAUCUCGCCCUGUUUCUCCUGUGCACAUGAUGAAAAUCAGUCAACAGGGAUUUUUCUUCCCUUAAUGGGGGCAAAAUUAGAAGCAAGACAAGACUGGAUUUUGAAGCGGUUGCAGUAACCCAGGUGAAAAAGGAUGAGGGGCUUGCACAGCAACGUGGAUGUACAUAAUGUCACAAAGUCGUACACUUAAAAAUGCUUAAAAUGGUUAAUUUUAGGUUAUGUGUAUUUUAUCACAAUAAAAAAAUAAGAGGCUGACCUGCAGCAGUAAUAGUGAUAACGGCAGAAGAUUCUACAAGUGUUAGGAAAUGGUUGGGUGCAGAUACAUUUUCAUAUCAUUCUCAUGGGCAAAUUGUGCAGAUGAACAAAUAUUAAACUCCAGCACACUAAUGCCAGAAACACUCUUACAACCUUCUCAUUGAAACAAACAGACCUACACAUCAUGAAGUCAUUCAAUCAGAUUUUACAACGAAAUGUUUUUCGUCGUACAUUUAGAACAUUUUCUUUUAUGACAUGUAAAUAUCAAGCUUUAAACAAAUCAUACAGAUGGGAAAAUGAAAUGUGCUGCACUAAAAGCACCCGGAUUUAGCAAAGAAAGGGCAAAAAAGGGGGGAACCACUCCUCGAGGCAUCUCUGGUUCAGUUUUGACUGUCAGAAAUACGAGAGAGGUAAAAGCAUUUCCAGGAUUCAGUUGCAUCUGUGAGUUGAGCACAAAAGGAAAAGAUAAAUAGGAAGGAACUUCAGACAUGACUUGUGCAAACAGCAGAUUCAUCGGUUUUGGUAAUGACAAUUUACAUUUUAGGAUUUGUAAUCUGUUGACAUGUGAUUCAUUGAAAUUCCAUGGAGGAAUUAGAAGAGAUCUGGAAUUAUUUUCAGAAAAAUAUAACAUUUCACGUUAAACUUUCAGAUGUAUAUCUAUCUGGUUUUUCCAAUAUGUCUUUUAACAGAUGGCUUUCUAAUAAUACAUUUUACUGUUCCUUCAUCUCCAUCCCCACAAAUGAUUGGGUAAAGAAGUGAAAAAUACUGUCAAGACCAAUAUUAACGAGGAGUAUGACAGCUAGAAUCAGGAUUUCAUUUUAAUACAGCAUGAUUCUUUUCUACUGAAUUAAAGUUAUUUGAUAAUAGCUCAUGAGUUUCAAUAACAAAAGAGUUUCUUCUAGAGCUCACAAAGAACUUAAAAUGUACAACUUAAAUAAAAAAGAUAUUUUUUUAAAGCCCCGGCAACCAGAAAAUUUACUUAACUUGAUACAUACAGACUUCAGAGAAACCUGACUUUUGUAAAGCCAGGCCAUUUCCUCUAGGAUUUCUGUAAACUCAAUCAUCAUACAGGGGAAAAGCAAGCGUCUGUUACCUUAAGUUCACAAUACUGGAGUGACAGUGACCCACAGCCAAAUUUGAAAUGGCGGUGGCUUCAUACAUUGAAUAAUAGAAACUGUCUUGUUUUUCACAGUUAGUGCAAUCAACCUAAUGGCUUUUGUAUAAUUUUCCAAGCUACUUAAUGGAUAUUUUGUGGUUUAAAAUAAUUAUCUUUCCUGUCAGGCAAGAUAAAGACUCCAAAUUUCUUCAUUUGAAGAGUGAAUCUUCUCAAGAAGACGUUUAUGUUUGUUGGAGCAAUAAUUCCAGGCACUAUUCUACAGACCAACACGAGUCUGUGUUGAAGUGUUCUCAGUGAAAUAAGAAAAAUUGGGGC
Rhinolophus ferrumequinum (greater horseshoe bat) is the source of this 2048-nucleotide long non-coding RNA. NCBI's taxonomy places the organism in Eukaryota, Metazoa, Chordata, Mammalia, Chiroptera, Rhinolophidae. The record is from Ensembl.